AAAUAGAAAUCAAAUAAAUGCUAAUGAGUAGAAAUAUUUUAUAUUAUAGAUCAAGAAUCCAAAGAAGAACGAGGAAAAGAAAAAGUUGCGGAAUAGUCCCAAAAUUUCAAUAUCUUCUACAAAUUAGCCGGAUUGACUUGAAGUGAAGUGGGUAGAUCGGAUCAACACAACAAAGCACACUAUCCAGAUCAAUUCCGGUAGCUUUUGUUUUAUGUUUGAAGAUUUAUAUGGCAUGUAUAGAGUUUGAAUGAAUUGAAGUAAAGAUGUUAUAAACUAGUUAACAAUAUUUGUACUAAAA
Long non-coding RNA from Gossypium arboreum, 298 nucleotides. RefSeq lists it as uncharacterized. NCBI's taxonomy places the organism in Eukaryota, Viridiplantae, Streptophyta, Magnoliopsida, Malvales, Malvaceae. The transcript is spliced from 2 exons. The record is from RefSeq and is a predicted model, not a curated record.